UUGAGGGAGGGGGUGGCUCAGGCAGCGCGGCGGGCAGCUAAAGGGAGGGGGCCUGAGGAGGCGCUGUUGCUAUGGGGAUGGGGAAGGGGCAAGAUGGCGUCCGGGGGGCAGCGCUGCGCUGAGGGGUCGGGGCCUGUUGUCUUGAGACCCCAUGGGGAGGCUCCUUGGGCAGCCUGGGGGCUCGCUGAGGGGUGAGGGGCAGCGUUCCAGUCAGGGGAGGUAGUCCCCGAGUGGUCUCUGUGUGUGGGUAGUGCAGCCUUAGGGGCCCGGCCGCAGGUAGGUGGGGCACGGAGUAGCUCUGAGGGCUGUGCUGAGCCCUAAAGGCUGCCUGUCUAUCUAGGGAGCAUCUGGUGGAAGCCAAGCUGUGAGAAAUGGCCUUGUUUUAAUGCUCUUUUCUCAACAUUCUCGUUCCAGUUUAAAUAUAUGGAGUGGGCACUUGGGUCACCUCAGGACGUUCAGGCAGGUUUUCCUGAUGUAUGUGUGUGUUCCUACAUCUGCCAUGAAACAGAACCCGAUGUUUCCAAGGGUCAUAAAGGGUUCCACGCUGUUAAAGAAAACACCAGCUGCCUAGGAGUGACUGUGGGAUCCGAAGAGUGAAACUCCAGACUGAAAAAGCCCUGAGCAGUGCUGCCUGGUGUCCCAGCUGACCCCGCUCUGAGCACGAGGUCGGACUUUGUGCUCCAACCAGCAUUACCAGUGGUUCACUGCCGGGUCACGUCAGGAUCGCCUCACCUCCACAGCCAGUGCCUUACUGAGGUCUCGGAUACUGGCUGUUGUAUUGCAGAUUGACACCUGUGCACUAAAUCUCCUUCCUUUUGUAGGAAACAGCUUCUCAUGGAAAAUUCCUCUGUGUAUAAUCACAUUGUCUGGCUGCUGACAUUUUGCUUGGACACUCACCUAGAGGUUUGCUGGUUUAUUUAAUGGGUUAAUGACAAAUAAAACUUCAUAUCCUGCACACAAAUGGUUGAGGUGCACCUGUGUUGUUUAAAAUACACAUCCAGAGCCUGUGUGUUGGUGAACUCCUAACAAUUACACGUGCAGAGCAGGCUGACUCGUAGGAAGAGCGGGUUUCUGGCCGUUUAAACGUUAGGCUGCUGAAAUUUAUCUUGGCACGCAGCCCCCCCAGACAAAGGGCACAAUAAUAUUUUAACAGGGGAAGGGAUGGAAGUCAGAUUUUCAAUCUUCAGUUUCACUGACUGCAGAAAUGACAACGCUCAUCUUCCUGUUCCCAACAGGAGGCUGAGUUUAGGAAGCAGAUUGUUGUCUGCGCUCC
This is a non-coding RNA of Anas platyrhynchos (mallard), 1273 nucleotides long. Lineage: Eukaryota; Metazoa; Chordata; Aves; Anseriformes; Anatidae. The record is from RefSeq and is a predicted model, not a curated record.